UACAGAGGGUGCGAGCGUUGUCCGGAUUUACUGGGCGUAAAGGGCGCGUAGGCGGCCUCUGCAAGUCGACUGUGAAAUCUCCGGGCUUAACCCGGAAAGGUCAGCCGAUACUGCAGGGCUAGAGUGCAGAAGGGGCAACUGGAAUUCUCGGUGUAGCGGUGAAAUGCGUAGAUAUCGAGAGGAACACCUGCGGCGAAGGCGGGUUGCUGGGCUGACACUGACGCUGAGGCGCGAAAGCUAGGGGAGCGAACGGG
Molecule: ribosomal RNA, 254 nt
Filed under: uncultured bacterium
Lineage: Bacteria
Description: partial 16S ribosomal RNA
Rfam family: Bacterial small subunit ribosomal RNA
Source: RNAcentral